This 9525-nucleotide long non-coding RNA is filed under the name Marmota monax (woodchuck). The record is from RNAcentral. Lineage: Eukaryota; Metazoa; Chordata; Mammalia; Rodentia; Sciuridae.
ACUAGAGACUAAAGCUGGACACCUGCCCGCAGGUACUGACUCAUUUCCGCUUACUCUCGGGGGCACCGGGUGGGGGAGGCCCCGGAGGAACCGCGCGCCUUGAUGCCCAAGCGCGGGGCGCAGGGGAGUGCGGGCGCCCGGGCACAUGGUCCGCCGGCCUGUGAGGGAUUCCACCGCUGCCCCACCCGCUGCGGUUGGCAGACCCCGGGCCGUGCCCGCCAAGACCCGUUGUCAUGAGGAGUGCGACACGUAGUCUAUCUGUGACCCUUGCUUGCUAAUAACAACAGCCUAAGCCCAGUUGCACAACUUUACAAAAGACAAAGUUUGAGCUGUUAUUGUUUAUUAAGAAUGUACAGGGUUUCUUUAUAUCUUUCUUUCUUUUUUUCUUUUUUAAAGAAUAACAGGAGUCUGUGUUUUUAAUAUCGGGAUGAUUUAUUGUAGCCCAACAGCAUUGGGUACUGAUAAAAGAACCAAAGGGGCGGAAAUCAUUUUCAUCAUUAAUCACUCAAUAUGAUUUCUCUUACCCCACUUUCUUUCUCGUCCAGCUUUUUUUCAAAGGUGCUUUAAAAAAAAAGAAAGAAAAUGCUAAACUUCUGAGCCAAACAAGCUAAACCCAGGAAAGAGCCAUCUUUCUUAGAAUAUAGGAAUUUAAGCAGCCUUUGGAUUCACUGGGGCCUUCUCCUUCUGCUCACAGUUCUGUUUGCUCUGAUGUUGUCCAGACUGGUCGAUUUCCAUUUCUGCUGCCCUUUCAAGGGACAGUGGAUCCAUAGGGAAAGACACUUGAUGAGCAGAUCAAAAUACUUAGGUGACAGAAGACAGGUCACAUUGAGGUUUGGGGUUCUUUUAGGGUCUUAAUUGCAAAUAUCCCUUUCAAGAGACAGUGGAUCCAUAGGGAAAGACACUUGAUGAGCAGAUCAAAAUAAUUAGGUGACAGAAGACAGGUCACAUUGAGGUUUGGGGUUCUUUUAGGGUCUUAAUUGCAAAUAUCAGUACUAGAACUCAAUCUUUUGCUGACAAAUCCUCAGAGGACUGAGGCUUCUUUUUGUGGCACAUCGAUGCCAUCUAAUAGUUAAGAAUUCGUAUUCUGUCUCCCACUGUAGGACACAAAUUCUCUGCCUCAUUACAGGGAAUAGGGACAAUUCUUUUAAUAUGUUACACUGCAGAGGAGGAAUAUACUUCACUAGUGACAGUCUCCCAACAGCAACAACUUGCACUAGAGUGAAAAAAAAUGGCUGACUGUCCCAAGAGGACUUAUCAGGACCUGCGUUAGAAAAGUGUCCCACUAUAAUGGAAAUGGCUUUGGGAGCUUCUGCUCAUAACAACAAAAACAAAGAGCUAAGGUGUUGCUAAGUGAUAGAGUACCUGGUGCCCUGAGUGCUAUUGGUAGCACAGAAAAACAAAAUACAAAACACAAGCAAAACCACCCUUGAAGGGAUUUCCUUUAAAGAUAUCUCUGAUCUUUAAUUCCUACAGCAAGGUGUCCCUGCCCAGCUGCCCUUAGCUCUGUGCUUCUGUGUUGGGAGGAACACCUUUAUUUACCCUCAUGGCAGGGUUGACACCCCAGAACCUUGCAGCAGCAGUCUUCCUGAGACUAUCCACUCCCCCAGGGUAGUGAAUUCAUUCAAGUAUAUUUGCUGGAAUGAUACCAAAUCAAAGUAUCAGUAAUUAAAUUGCAUAUAUAGACAUAUCCAUAUGGAGAUUUUUAAGAUCAGAAUUAUCAACUGUACAUGUUAACUCUGAGAGAAAUUUUCAUGCAGAAUUCUAAUUUUGCUUGAAUUGUGAACUACAAGGCUUUUGAAUUAAAAAUUAAUGAUUUAUUUAUGCCUAACAAGAGAAGAGGAAAUUUAUUUGCACCUAUGUAUCAGUGAACUUGGGUUCCAAGUUUGGAGACAGGCCACUCCAUUUCUCUGGGACUCAGAUUUCCUCAUCUGUGAAAUCUCAGGGUGGCAUGAAGAUCUUCCUCUGGAUAAGUCCCAGCACACAGCCUUUGCUGCUGUGACUCUUCCAAGCUCUCAGCUGCUGUCCUCAGGAUCAAAGCCCCCGGGUCAGUUAGCCACAGUAAACUCCAGGGAUUUCAGGGCACACCUCUUAACUGCGGGGCCCAAGUCUAGCAGGAGUGCUUUGGGUAGCUGUCACUGUCACACAGUAUUUUCAAGGCCAAUAAGACUUGGCCAGAGUUGAAGGAAAGACCCUAGGCUCUGAGCCCAGAGGCCUAGGUAGACAGGUACUUGGAAGGUACAGUACUUGGAAAUUGCAGUAUUGGCUCUGCAGUGCUCCUGGGAGGCAUGCUUUCCCCAGUUUACAGAGGACCUGUGUGCAAGCCUCUUUACCCAGGAAGCUCCCAAUGUUCUUCAGUCUGGUGUUGCCAGAGAGUAAGCCAUUCUGCCAGCCACUAUAAUAAUCAUCAAAGACAGCCAAGAGCAUAAUUCAUAAAUUAAAAUAAUCGCCUUAAAAACUUUGGGAACACUUUUAUUAAGUGCUUAAAUUGGAUAAUAGACUUAUGCUUAAAUCCUUAAUCAGAAAUAAUAAAAUUCUCUUACAGUGACUGUCUUACUGUUCUUUUAUGUUUUCUCAUUAUUGCUCUCUGGAUCAGGUCCCCUCUUCCCUCUCCCCACAAUAGUCCCGUUUUCUUUAUUGCACUUACCUCCCCCUAUCUGCCUCUCUUCUCCUGGCUUCCAGGGCUGGGUCUUAUUGAUAUCUUUACAUCCCAGGGGUCUCACUGUGCCUGGCAUGAGAUACUCCACAAACAGCUUUCUUCUGGGAGUUACUUCAGGCCCUUUCUCACCUUCUAUUCCCCAAAGCAUGGUAAGCCUCCAAUUUCCCCAUGUGAGACCUCUCCAUUGUGUGCUAAUGGUACAAGUGGUCCUCUUCCCUCAUUUAGGUUGUGGAAUGCAGGAAAUGGCAACUGCAAUUUGCUGGGUGUAAUACUGUGCCAGCAUAGUUCUAAGCACUUGGCACUGUCAUUAAAUUAGUAGUCACCUUAACAUUGGGACCCUGAGAACAGUGCCAUUUAAAAAACUGUCUAAACUCUUUGGAGUAUGUCUUGCUGACUCCUCUGAGCCAGUGACCAGGGGACCAGCCUGAAGGGCCUUUGCUGCUUACAGCCAGACAAGGGACCCUGUCACUUGCCAGGUGCUGCCUCUGAAGGUGUGAUAUUAUUGGGGCAGUUUGUAAAGGCUUCUGGUUAACAUGAAAGGAAGGUUCUGUGCAGAUACAAAGUAUCGUCACUUGAGAGUGAUGGAUGACCUAUACCACAUUCUGCCAACUCUUUGCAGAAGAAAUCCAGUUACUGACUGAGACACUGUCCUCUACUACAAAAUAUUUGCAGAGAAAUGGGGUGAAGAAUGCUUAUUUUAUGAGAAGUUUUGCAAAACUGGAUUAGCAAAGUUAAAAGUAGUGACAUUCCUUGCUGUUUCCCCCACAGCAGCAAUAGCCUUCCACAGCAGAAAGGAGGACAUGAUUACAAGCCAUACUGUUACUCAUCUCUGCCAGUCUCUGUGGGUUUUGGCAGUGAUGUGAAUAAAUACAUGUUGCUGGCCACAUUCCCCUGUCCCCAUUUUUCAGAGGAGCCAAAACCAUGUGUCAGUGAGGUCUCAUAAGUCUGAUAUGAUAGCAUUGAAUGUUACUAAUGUUAUAUAGUUUUCUUCAAAAAGUAGGUGGCACCCCCCAUAGAACUAAGUCAAGUGAAAAUAUGAAUAUGAACCAGUUGGUCAGUCAUGAGUUAAGGGAGAAUUUAUAAGGUUGUGGGUAACAUUUCUCCCUGAAUUAUCUUCCUGUAGGAGGGUUUUCAAGUUAUCCAGGCCAUUCUACUGCUAGAAAUGCGAAGCUCCGUUGUAUUUUAUUGUAUUAAGCAUAUAGUCACAGACUGCCCAACAGCAUCCUCAUGUUCUCAGCUAGAUGCAAGUCAGAGGUGUGCUUUUGGUUCCAGCAUGCCAAGGGGAAAAUAUCCUUCAGUUAUUGUGUGGUUGUUUUGUUGCUGAUGUUGUUUUUUUUUUUUUUUUUUUUUUUUUUUUUUUAAGAAGCUUCUGGUCAGGCUGGACCACAGCCUUUCUAGAUUUUUCUGUUGUUCUCUAGCCACCUUUGGUUAUUUUCCCCUUCUAACAUCUUCUAUCUGUGUCCUUUUCAUUUCAGCCAAUGCUCUGUGCGUUCUGACUUGGUUUUAUGAAUAGUUUCCCCUUCUCAACCUCAGCUAUGCACCUCUGUGUACCAGGCCUGCUGGAGGUAUUUCCAGGGUGCCAGUUCACAUAGUCCUCAGCUGUCUGUGGGAGGAGGAAUAAUGACACUCUCUUCACAGAGGGGGAUCUUGAGGCACAGAGAGGUUUGACAGCUUGCUAGGCACAUUCACACAUGUGCAGAUGCCUGUGCACACAUGUGCAUAUACAUGCACACAAACACACAGGCAGGGGCGGAAGUGAGCCUGAGGGUCUGGCCCCAGGAUCAUGCACUUCUCCUCUGCAUAGCACUUAUGCUGAGAGGUAUGUAGUUCUUCCUUAAAUUAGAAGCUCUUGUUUGAAUAACAACCACCAUUACAAAAAUUCGAGUUUUUUUCCUAAUGUCUCACAAAAAUAUCUAGAUUGACAAAUAAUUCUGCAAAGAUUUCUGAGAAAAUAAUUCUGCCAUUAUAGUUUUACCAAUGGAAAGUUCUUGAGACAUGGAUACAACAAUCAAAAUAAAUUUGUGCUGUCAUAUUUUGGGGCAGUAUUGCAAGUUAAAAUUAGUCUGUCUCAGGCUUGGAUUAUUAUUAUUGUCACUUCUUAUUGCUGCAUUAAUCACCAAACAUACUGAGAGAGAUUAAUGAAGUUAAUUGUUUUUAGAAACAGAAUUAAAUGCAAGUGCUAAUGCUGGGUGACUGACCCUGACACUGUGCCCUUAUUUCAAUGGAAGAAUGGACAGGCCUUUCCACAGUCCUUCCAGAGACUUGAUUGUUUCAAAUGUCACCUUGAUGCUCAGUAUCAAUUUUCUUUGUAGUUGGUUUCACAGCCCUUUUCACUUUUAGUUAGUUUAUGGAAUACAUCUGUGAGUUACAGUUCAAAGGUUUUAUGUCUGCCAAGUAGAAAUGAUUCAGAGAUUAUUUUUAAAUGGGCACCUAAAUGAGUUUGCUAGGGAUGCCAUAACAGAAUACCAAGACCUUUUUUUUUUCUCACAGUUCUGGAGGUUGCAAGUCCAGGAUCAAGGUGUGGGUAGGUGUGGUUUCUCCUGAGGCCUCUCUUUGGCUGGCAGUUGGCUCUUAUCUCUGCCUUUUUUCUGUGCACAUGCAUUCCCUGCAUCUCUUCCUUUUUGGGAGAGGGGUACUGGGGAUUAGGAGCACUUAAUCACUGAGCCACAUCCCCAGCCCUUUUUAUGUUUUUAUUUAGAGACAAAGUCUUGCUGAGUUCCUUAGGGCCUCAUUAAGUUACUGAGGCUGGCUCUGAACUCACAAUCCUCCUGCCUCAGCCUCCUAAGUCACCGGGAUUAUAGGCGUGCACCACUUUACCCUCUUCUUUUAAGGACAUCAGUGUUAUGGGAUCAGGAUCUGACCUAGUUUUAACUUAGUUACCUCUUUAAAGACACACUAUUUAAGGUGUUAAGACUUCAACGUAUGCAUUUUGGUGGAACAAAACAAAAUCUCUAAUCAAUUUCUGAAGGCCAUGGGAUCAAGGUGUGAGAAAAGGAAAAUGUAUUGUGAAAAAUAUUUCAUGGGGGCUGGGGCUAUAGCUCAGUGGAAGAGCACUUGCCUAGCUUGUGUGAGGCACUGGGUUCAAUCCUCAGCACCACAUAAAAAUAAGUAAAUAAAAUAAAAGGCAUGCUGUCUGUGUACAACUACGAAAAGAAUUUUAAAAAGAAAAAAAAAAUCAUGGGACGGUUCUAGGCUCUUCCUUUGGUCCAAAACAUAAUUCUCAAAUUCCACAUUUCAAGAGAGUGGAAAGUCAUUUACUGUACUGCAGAAUUUUAUUUUCAAACUCCAUUUCUAAUGGAGUACUAUACAGGCUGGGAAAUCUUAAAUUUAAAAGCUGUCCACUAAUAGUAGAUUUCUCUCUCUCUCUCUCUCUCUCUCUCUCUCUCUCUCUCUCAGAUAUUGAAAUCAGGGAACUUAACCCAUGAGCCACACUCCCAGCCCUUUUAUUGUAUUUUAUUUUGAGACAGGGUCUCACUGAGUUGCUUAGCAUCUCACUAAGUUGCUGAGGCUGGCUUUGAACUUGUGAUCCUCUUUCCUCAGCCUCCUAUACUCAACUAUCUUUUUUUUUUUUUAAUCUGAGUUUAAAGUGAGGAAAAUCCUUAGAAACCAAAAAUAAGGAACUGAAAUUCAGACAGCAUGAUAGUUGGCUCACAGACCCCAAACCCUGGGGGAGACAUGGCAGAGGGGACCCUCCCCAGCAACACAGUGGAAUGGCAAGGAAGGGCCCCGCAUCCUUGGAUGUCAGCAUGGGCUCUGAAUGGAGGCACACAUCUCCUUGAGAAAUGGUAAAUGAGGCCAGCUUCUAUGAGUGGGGUUCAGAUUACACUGUCUGGUCUGGCUGUUCCAUUCUAAGAAAUCCUUGGUAAGGACUUUCAGGCACCUUCCUCUUCAUCUGGAAGAAACACAAGCAGCAUUUCUUGAAAGAAUUGCUGUCUACACCACGGGCCCCAUAAGAUCUUCCUGACGGGCCUGGUGAAGUCAAGUGUGUGAUCCAUAGUCGCCUGCAUGAGAGCAAGAAGGAGCAGACAAAAACCAACAGGAGGACUGACUCCUAGGGCCCCAGGUGACAAAAUAUCUGCAUAUACAACACUAAGUGCACAUACAAGUGUGCCCAAAUGGUUAAGUUUAUUAUAAUGGGAAACAUGAGAAAAGAAGCAGAGCCUAUCAAGUAAAGACCUGAUGAGUUGGAGACCACAAGGCAUAAGCUCUCGCAGUCAAAUGCAAAAUGAUUAGAAAUGAAUUCCUAGGAUAAAAAAUGGAUCACUAAACAGGAUCCUAUUUCUUUCCAAAGUAGAAUGCCCCUGCUCCAUGAAAGAAGUGUUGGGGCAGAGGGAGAUUGUGGUUCCAAUCCCAGACCAGAAUGGGCACUGUUUAAACUGUUUAAACACAACCCUUUAUUUUACUUGAUGCCUGUUUUGCCCUCAUCUGAGGGACAGCUGCUAGGGUACCAUUGUCCCUGAGAAGCAAGCGUCAUCGUCUUCCUGAAGUCUGAGAAAUUUAAGACUAAUCAACUUGGAGCAUGUGAGGCUGAGGUGAUUUCACAGUCUCUUCCUGUUCAUCAGCAUCAUCAGCUUGCCCUGGACUUUUGUGAACCAGCAAGGUCCACCCAGAUUUGGGACUCCGGAGGAGCUGGAGUGACAAAUGGACCAUACUGUGGGAUGUGGCUGCUUCAUGGCCGAAGACCCAGUAGCUGCCCUGAGUAGGGCAAGGGUGGGACUCAAGAACCUGGAGUAAAUGCAAACAACAACAACAACAAAAUCCAGCCCUUCUUUCCAUCAAGCACUCCCCUCCUUGAGAGUUGGUAAAUGAGGCCUGUGGUGUAAACUGCUGUUCCCUCCUUUGAAUGUCUCCAUCUUGGAGUUUUCUCCCCUUUAUGCAGAUGAAGCAACCACUGUCCAUGUAAAAUAACAACUGUGCUUUAAAGGAAACAAGAAAAUAGUUUAUCCUAAGCCAAACAAGAGUGACUGUGGUCUGGGAAAUGGCAUUGCAUGACAUAAUCCACCAUGCAACUUUUACAGCCACAAAACAAGGGGAGUCCUAAUCAAUACAUUUAGCAAACAUUUGGUAGGUCAUCAGGUAGGCUGGCUAUAAGCAAAGGGAGAAAAUCUUUCCUGUAAUUUUAGCCAUUACCUUAAACAUGCUUAGCUUGGUGGAUGCUUAUAGGUCUGCAAAGUUUAGUGGUUUAUUCUGGGAGUUUUAUCUGAAGUUAUAAUGGCAGAUACAGGAGAUGAAAUUAAGUGGCUACUAAAGAGCCUAAGAAAUACCAAGAUGCUUGGGAUCCCGAUCUGAAAUCUUCCAUCUCUCCACAAUCGCAGUCCUCUUGCUCAGCCAGUCAAGCAGUCUGCAAGAUCUUUUAUAUGGGUGCAGCUUCUUCAGAGACCCUCAGCUCCACACCACCAUGUGAGGUCAGCUUUUUGGAUAUAUGGCUAGUAUUUCUAAACUCUAUUCUAUGGGACACUAUGGUGCUAAAAGAUGAUAACAGCAUUACUGCAAAACCAAAAAUAGAUCAAAACAAAAACUGAGUCAAAUGCAUCUGGGGCCAGGCAUACCAGUAAUCCUAGCAACCUGGUAGGGUGAGGCAGGUGGAUCACAAGUUUGAGGCCAGCCUGGACAAUUUAGUGAGAUCCUGUCUCAAAAUUUAAAAAAGGGUUGGGGAUGUUGCUCAAUGGUAAAGCUCCCCUGGGUUCAAUCCCCAGUGCAUCCGUGCACACACACAUACACACACACACAUACACACAGAAAAAAAGAAACAUCUGGGGAUACUGCAUGCUCCAUGUCCCUCAUAAAUCUUCAUGUUGCACAUUAGCACUCUAAAUUUUAUUGUAGUGAUGGUUGCAUAACUUUGAAUUCACUCAAACCACUGUAUUAUAUAAUUUACAUGAAUGAAUUGUACAUAAAUUAGAUCUUGAUGAAACUUUUGUUGGGGGAGAUUGAACCCAAUGUGAAGAAUGUGAAUCCAAGGGCACUUAACCACGGAGCCACAUCCCCAUCCAUUUUUUUAUGUUUUAUUUAGAGACAGGGUCUCACUAAGUUGCUUAGGGCCUUUCCAAGUUCCUGAGGCUGGCUUGAACUCACAAUUCUCCUGCCUCAGCUUCCCGAGCUGCUGGAUUACAUGCGUGUGCCACCAUACACAACUGCAAUGAGGCUGUUUUCCUAAAAACAGAAUGAACAUCUACCAAUAGGAGGGUUUCACAGCACAGCCUGGGAAGGGAUGCUCUGGACAUCUUUGCCACUCCUGACUAGGCUCUGUGACUAACAUAGUAGCUGUUCUGUAUCACCAGCUAUGUCAACUAUCAAAAGCAUCACUGGUAUUUGAGAAAAUGCUCACAGGGUAGGACAGGGUUUAGGGAGCCCCUGUAUCAAUAAGAUGUGCAGAACUAAGUAGCCACUGUUACACAUGCUUCACACUUUGGUUAUGUGACUGUUCUUACAAAAUACAUGAGAGGUAACCAAAAAGGGACCCCAGAGUCUUGUAAAGUUUCUAACAUCUGGAGUAAGGGAUAGCAUUGCACAGGUAACACAUUGAAUCUCCUCCAGUUAAUGAUUGUCACUGCCAGGGUCUUCAAACUGACUUGUGGCCACUGGGCAAACCUCUGAGGCAGUUCCCCAUCUGUACUAAUCAUACUUGCCUUUUGUUUUCAUUUCAGUGAAAGCUGGUGGAAUGUAGAUCAUGCAGAAACACCCACAUGCUAGAGACACCAAGGAAGAAAGAGACAAGGAUUACCAGGAAUGGGAAAGCCCCAAAUGGUAGACGUCUGGUGACUCUUAACAAACUUUGCAAAUAAUGAUUGUUCUGUUAAACAUUAGUGUUUGUCCUUCCUCUGUUCUGAUAACUCCUGGGCAGCUGGACCUGUGCUGUGUAUUCUUGC